This 28-nucleotide small RNA is filed under the name Bombyx mori (domestic silkworm). RNAcentral's name for it is "ovarian small RNA-18089". Lineage: Eukaryota; Metazoa; Arthropoda; Insecta; Lepidoptera; Bombycidae. The record is from RNAcentral.
UAAACAACCUGACCAACGCAUGAUGUUC